UGCAGUCGCACGGUCGGGGGUAACUCCGGCAGUGGCGGACGGGUGAGUAACGCGUAGGAAUCUAUCCUUGGGUGGGGGACAACUGUGGGAAACUACAGCUAAUACCGCAUGAUGACUGAGGUCUAAAGGCGCAAGUCGCCUGAGGAGGAGCCUGCGUACGAUUAGCUAGUUGGUGGGGUAAAGGCCUACCAAGGCUACGAUCGUUAGCUGGUCUGAGAGGAUGAUCAGCCACACUGGGACUGAGACACGGCCCAGACUCCUACGGGAGGCAGCAGUGGGGAAUAUUGGACAAUGGGCGCAAGCCUGAUCCAGCAAUGCCGCGUGUGUGAAGAAGGUCUUCGGAUUGUAAAGCACUUUCGACGGGGACGAUGAUGACGGUACCCGUAGAAGAAGCCCCGGCUAACUUCGUGCCAGCAGCCGCGGUAAUACGAAGGGGGCUAGCGUUGCUCGGAAUGACUGGGCGUAAAGGGCGCGUAGGCGGAUGGUACAGUCAGAUGUGAAAUUCCCGGGCUCAACCUGGGGGCUGCAUUUGAUACGUGCUGUCUAGAGUGAGGAAGAGGGUCGUGGAAUUCCCAGUGUAGAGGUGAAAUUCGUAGAUAUUGGGAAGAACACCGGUGGCGAAGGCGGCGACCUGGUUCUUUACUGACGCUGAAGGCGGCGAAGGCGUGGGGAGCAAACAGGAUUAAGAUUACCCUGGUAGUCCACCGCCGUAAACCGAUGGUGUGCUGAUUGUUGGGCACUUAGUUGCUCAGGGUCGUAGCUACGCGAAUAGCACACCGGCCUGGGGAGUACGGCCGCAGUGACUCAAGGAUGACGGGGCCGACAGCGGUGGGACUGGGUUAUUCGAAGCA
Molecule: ribosomal RNA, 851 nt
Filed under: uncultured Acetobacteraceae bacterium
Lineage: Bacteria; Pseudomonadati; Pseudomonadota; Alphaproteobacteria; Acetobacterales; Acetobacteraceae
Description: bacterial SSU rRNA
Rfam family: Bacterial small subunit ribosomal RNA
Source: RNAcentral